RNAcentral lists this ribosomal RNA (496 nucleotides) under uncultured bacterium. RNAcentral describes it as "partial 16S ribosomal RNA". It matches the Rfam family "Bacterial small subunit ribosomal RNA", at positions 28 to 507 of the family's 1533-position model. The record is from RNAcentral.
GACGAACGCUGGCGGCGUGCCUAAUACAUGCAAGUAGAACGAACAGACGAGGAGCUUGCUCUUCUGGGGUGAGUUGCGGACGGGUGAGUAACGCGUGGAUAACCUACCUAGAAGAGUGGGAUAACUACGGGAAACGGUAGCUAAUACCGCAUAACAUAUUGUAACACAUGGUUCAUAAGUGAAAGACGGAAUUGCUGUACUACAAAGUGGGCCUCGGUCGGCUUAGGUAGUUGGUAAGGGAAAGGCUUACCAAGGCAACGAUACGUAGCCAACCUGAGAGGGGGAUCGGCCACACUGGAACUGAGACACGGCCCAGACUCCUCGGGGGGGCAGCAGAAGGGAAUCUUCCGCAUGGGGCGAAAGCCUGACGGGGCAACGCCGCGUGGGUGAUGAAGGUCUUCGGUUCGUAAGCCCCUGUUAUUGGGGAAGAACGAAUGUGUAAGUAACAAUGCACGUCUUGACGGUACCUAAUCAGAAAGCCACGGCUAACUACGUG